Molecule: ribosomal RNA, 449 nt
Filed under: uncultured bacterium
Lineage: Bacteria
Description: bacterial SSU rRNA
Rfam family: Bacterial small subunit ribosomal RNA
Source: RNAcentral
GUCCAGACUCCUACGGGAGGCAGCAGUGGGGAAUAUUGCACAAUGGGGGAAACCCUGAUGCAGCGACGCCGCGUGAGUGAAGAAGUAUCUCGGUACGUAAAGCUCUAUCAGCAGGGAAGAAAAUGACGGUACCUGACCAAGAAGCCCCGGCUAACUACGUGCCAGCAGCCGCGGUAAUACGUAGGGGGCGAGCGUUAUCCGGAUUCACUGGGUGUAAAGGGAGCGUAGACGGCCAUGCAAGCCAGGGGUGAAAGCCCGGGGCCCAACCCCGGGACUGCCCUUGGAACUGCAUGGCUGGAGUGCGGGAGGGGCAGGCGGAAUUCCUGGUGUAGCGGUGAAAUGCGUAGAUAUUAGGAGGAACACCAGUGGCGAAGGCGGCCUGCUGGACAGUAACUGACGUUGAGGCUCGAAAGCGUGGGGAGCAAACAGGAUUAGAUACCCCUGUAGUC